Rhipicephalus sanguineus (brown dog tick) is the source of this 1248-nucleotide long non-coding RNA. RefSeq lists it as uncharacterized. The transcript has 5 exons. Lineage: Eukaryota; Metazoa; Arthropoda; Arachnida; Ixodida; Ixodidae. The record is from RefSeq and is a predicted model, not a curated record.
CGAAACCGCCCGUGCCAGAGUUGGCGAGAUAGUGCUCUUCAAGUCACAAGUAUAUACGUAUCAGUCGGCUUAACUUGUACUAAAUAAAUCUCCUUGGGCGUUCGUAUACAUAAUGCCACCAGGAGGCGAUAGAGACUUGAUAGUAUUUAACAACGACGACAAUAGGCGUGUGUAUGGUUCUCCGAUAGAAUCAGCGAAGGUUCACCCCUUUGCGCACGACUGUGACGACGACGACAACAACAGGCCCAUGAACCUGCCGUUCAGUGUGACCGCACGGCUUUACCAGCGUGAUAUCGCGUAAGAGUUUACUCUUACGCCUCCAGCGAAGCCGAUUCAACUUGUUUUCGCUCUUACGUUGAAGUGUCACUAAUGGGCAAGGUGAAUGGAGGCGUAUCGGCUAAGACAGAUAAUGAAUGGGGCAGCCGCCCCUUGAAACUACCGGAGGAAAGCGAAAGUUAUAACGUGCCUUGACUCUAGCAACCUCAUAUCCGCCAAUGGUAUCGAUGCAAUAGCGAACAGAAAUCUGGAUAUGUCGAACGCUUUCGGGUAGUUGAGCGUCAUAGUUCCACGACACCGCCGAGCGGCCCGCUUUCAGUUGCGCUAUAACACACAAUCUAUCACAGUUCAUGAAGAACAAGACGAAGAAAAAGAAGAAAACCGUGAGUAAGGGCCAUCAGAGGAAAACUGGCACAAAGAACUAGAUGGAGGCACAGUGCAGGAGCUGCCAGACGUCUGUAAUCUCGCGAGGGGCGGCGUCUGGUGCGUAACGAGGGUUGGUUUAACUCUACACAGACGUCCGGGAGCCGACACCGUGCUGAAAGCAAAGUAUGAACGCAUUUCUUCACUCAAGAAACGCUCGGGUAAGUUGCAAUGCGUGUGCACGGCGCUAGCGAGUGGACCAGUGAAAAAGGAGAGCCUAUGGUUGAUGUGCGCUACCCGCUGGUUUCAGGAGUGGACGUCCGCUCUAUUUACGAGAAGCGAUUGAUUUCUUUCCUUUCACUGCGUGUUGUGAAAUACCGCAGAAGUAUGCCCAGUGGACUGCAACUUGGAAAUAAGAAAAAUUAGCGCAACUUGCACUAAGCCGCGCAAGGCUGGAUCCCAGCAGAGCUGGAGGGCACGUUUCGGCUUCUCUUGUUGACCAUGUGUACAGAAUGCUUGGGAGGGGAUUGAGCGCGUGCCGGUUCAUGAUGAUGAUAAAUUUAUAUGUAGGACACACGGAAAACCUCAGCUCUGCUGUAAAAAGCGAAA